This is a long non-coding RNA of Pan troglodytes (chimpanzee), 2092 nucleotides long. RefSeq lists it as uncharacterized. The record is from RefSeq and is a predicted model, not a curated record. The transcript has 6 exons. Lineage: Eukaryota; Metazoa; Chordata; Mammalia; Primates; Hominidae.
CCCCUGCGCCGCCGCUGCCAACCCGGAAGGAGCCCGGAGGGGCCCGGACGGCCAGGGCGCCCCCGCCAGGAGGCCCGCCAGGUGUCCACCUGAGCCCCACGCCCUGCGCCGCGCGGCCCUUUUGGGGGCGGGGUGCCAGCUCCGAGGUGUCCUCCCACGGGCUGUAGACUGGGAAACUGAGGCCCGGGCCACGGUCCCAGACGCAGCCGGGACCCGAACCCACCUCACCUGAGCGAAUGAUAUCGGGGACUCAUCCUUUUUCGACACCUUUGCGGGAUCCAGCCCUCCAAGGAAAGCUUCCUGAGCAGUGCGCGCCAGGUGUAUUGGGCACCUCACCGCGGCCACUUCACAUCCUAUCUCAGGUGGAGAAACUAAGCCACAGAAAGGAGCUGUCAUUUACCUAAAGCACCGUGGCAGGGGUUUGGCAGAGCCAGGAUUUGUACCCAGAUCGCCUGACUUCGGAGAGUAUCAGCUCUUAACCACAGCACUUUGGUCUAUGCCUUGAUUUCACCAUAUGUAACAAGAGUUUCACUCUUGUUGCCCCAGCUGGAGUGUAAUGGCGUGAUCUUGGCUCACUGCAACUUCUGCCUCCCAGGUUCAAGCAAUUCUCCUGCCUCAGCCUCCCAAGUAGCUGGGAUUACAGGCAUGUGCCACCAUACCCAGCUAAUUUUGUAUUUUUAGUAGAGACAGGGUUUCUCCAUGUUGGUCAGGCUGAUCUUGAACUCCCGACCUCAGGUGAUCCACCUGCCUCGGCCUCCCAAAGUGCUGGGAUUACAGGUGUGAGCCACAGCACCCAGCCUUAAUGGACUGUUUAUGUGAUCGGUAAGCUCCCGGUCAGCAGUACGCUGUUAGUGGUAAAGUUUUUCGGGAGUCAAAAGUUAUGUGCACAUUUUUGAGUGUGCAUGAGGGGGAUCAGUGCCUUAAUCCCCAUAUUGUUCAAAUGCCAACUGUAAUAUGAUUAAUUGUGGAAAUUUUUGCAAUGUCUAAAUCAGAUAAAAAGGCUAAUUUUCUCCACAUAUAAAGAGCUUUUACAAAUCAAUAACAUUUGAUCAAUGACUUAAUAAAUGAAUAAAAGUUGUGAACAGACGACUAACUCAGAAUGAAAAGGCUUCACUCAAAAGAAAAGCAAUGUGCUUACGUGUGGUGGCUCACACCUAUGAUCCCAGCACUUUGGCAGGCCAUGGCAGGAUGAUUACUUGAGACCAGGAGUUCAAGACCAGCCUGGGCAAGAUAGCAAGACCCCUAUCUCUACAAAAAAUUUAAAAAUUAGCUGGUUGUGAUGGUGCACACCGGAGCAAGAUCGUGUCUUAAAAAAAAGAAGAAGAAGAAAGAGUAAGAGAAAAAAAAAGAAUUCAAAUGAAAAUCACAAUGCAAAGCUGAUGGUAUAUUUGCAAAGAACACAAGGAAAUUAACUACAGCAAUAUCUGCAGUAGCAAAAGACUGGAAGCAACCUAAACGCCCAUUGCAGGAGAUGAGUGAAUUAAGAGACAAGAGCUUGCCAUGUUGCCCCAGGCUGGUCUCAAACUCCUAGCCUCAAGCAAACUUCCUGUCUCGGCCUUUCAAAACCCUGAGAUUACAAGCAUAAGAAAAGAAAAUCUUGUAAGAUGAAAGCUGAAGGAUGAGAGCAAUUAAUUGAUGAAGUAUGAUGAUCCAGGUGUCCCUGGGUGAAGAAACAACCUCUACAAAGGCCCUGAGGGUCUCGCUCAUCACCAGGCUGGAGUACAGUGACAUGAUCACGGCUCACUGCAGCCUCAACCUCCCGGGUUCAGGCUAUCCUCCCACCUCAGCCUCCCAGGACCACAGGCGUGUACCACCAUGCCCAGCUAAUUUUUUGUAGCGAUGGGGUUAUGCCAUGUUGCCCAGGCUGGUCUCGAGCUGCUGGGCACAAGCAAUCUACCCAUCUCAGUCUCCCAAAGUGCUGGGAUUAUAGUCGUGAGCCACUGUGCCCAGCCAACAGCGUCUUUCAAAGAGCAGAGAGAGGUUAAUUUUGAUGAUGUCCAGUUUGCACCUUUGUUGAAAAUUGACCAUAUAUCUGUAAGUCUGUUUCUAGACUCUUUGUUCUGCUUUAUUAAACGACUUGUCUAUUUGUACA